Fundulus heteroclitus (mummichog) is the source of this 580-nucleotide long non-coding RNA. RefSeq lists it as uncharacterized. The transcript has 4 exons. Lineage: Eukaryota; Metazoa; Chordata; Actinopteri; Cyprinodontiformes; Fundulidae. The record is from RefSeq and is a predicted model, not a curated record.
AUAUGACUGAGAGACAUGGCCGGAUUCCCUCCCGUCAACAGAAGGAGAAGUAUGCGCUGGGAAUCAUUUCACUUUUUCCUGCACUUAAGGAUCCCUUCUCACCAAAAGGAUAUGAGCAUUUUUAUGAUGCACAGAAAGGUACUGGAUAUUUGGCGUGAUGUCUGAAGACAAUGAGCAGGACUAAAGCGAAGAGGCCAGCAAAGGAGCCAUCAUUGCCUAAAGACCAAGGGCCAAAACGGAGAAGACAAGUGACAACACUGCCUGAGCAGCUUGAUGGUGACGACUGCAGAGAAGCCAUUUCGUUUCUUAUUCACACCCCUGAAGAGGCAAGUGUGCUGGAGAAAAUGAAGAUGACAAUAUCGUUUCAAUAUCGUCAGGACUUGGUGCAUGACCCAGAAAGAAGCGCUGAUGUCUUCAAAACAUUCCCACGUUUCCUGGAUGUCAAAGGACUUGUAAAUCAAGACUUCAACCUGCUGUUUGGUGCUGAAAAAAGUUCCAAGUUGUUGAACAAUUGGGACACAACAUUCAAGCCGAAGAUCAUCAAAGAGGCCACCCAGCUGACUCAAUCAACUGAUCUGCG